This 73-nucleotide transfer RNA is filed under the name Neotoma lepida (desert woodrat). It matches the Rfam family "tRNA". From Rfam's summary of the family: Transfer RNA (tRNA) molecules are approximately 80 nucleotides in length. Their secondary structure includes four short double-helical elements and three loops (D, anti-codon, and T loops). The record is from Rfam by way of RNAcentral. Lineage: Eukaryota; Metazoa; Chordata; Mammalia; Rodentia; Cricetidae.
GGGGAUGUAGCUCAGUUGGUAAAGUGUUUGUCUAGUGUACACAUAGGCCUGGGUUCUAUUCCUAGCAUUGCAA